Molecule: ribosomal RNA, 2996 nt
Filed under: Escherichia coli O79:H7 str. 06-3501
Lineage: Bacteria; Pseudomonadati; Pseudomonadota; Gammaproteobacteria; Enterobacterales; Enterobacteriaceae
Description: 23S ribosomal RNA
Rfam family: Bacterial large subunit ribosomal RNA
Source: RNAcentral
GGGUUGUGAGGUUAAGCGACUAAGCGUACACGGUGGAUGCCCUGGCAGUCAGAGGCGAUGAAGGACGUGCUAAUCUGCGAUAAGCGUCGGUAAGGUGAUAUGAACCGUUAUAACCGGCGAUUUCCGAAUGGGGAAACCCAGUGUGAUUCGUCACACUAUCAUUAACUGAAUCCAUAGGUUAAUGAGGCGAACCGGGGGAACUGAAACAUCUAAGUACCCCGAGGAAAAGAAAUCAACCGAGAUUCCCCCAGUAGCGGCGAGCGAACGGGGAGCAGCCCAGAGCCUGAAUCAGUGUGUGUGUUAGUGGAAGCGUCUGGAAAGGCGCGCGAUACAGGGUGACAGCCCCGUACACAAAAAUGCACAUGCUGUGAGCUCGAUGAGUAGGGCGGGACACGUGGUAUCCUGUCUGAAUAUGGGGGGACCAUCCUCCAAGGCUAAAUACUCCUGACUGACCGAUAGUGAACCAGUACCGUGAGGGAAAGGCGAAAAGAACCCCGGCGAGGGGAGUGAAAAAGAACCUGAAACCGUGUACGUACAAGCAGUGGGAGCACGCUUAGGCGUGUGACUGCGUACCUUUUGUAUAAUGGGUCAGCGACUUAUAUUCUGUAGCAAGGUUAACCGAAUAGGGGAGCCGAAGGGAAACCGAGUCUUAACUGGGCGUUAAGUUGCAGGGUAUAGACCCGAAACCCGGUGAUCUAGCCAUGGGCAGGUUGAAGGUUGGGUAACACUAACUGGAGGACCGAACCGACUAAUGUUGAAAAAUUAGCGGAUGACUUGUGGCUGGGGGUGAAAGGCCAAUCAAACCGGGAGAUAGCUGGUUCUCCCCGAAAGCUAUUUAGGUAGCGCCUCGUGAAUUCAUCUCCGGGGGUAGAGCACUGUUUCGGCAAGGGGGUCAUCCCGACUUACCAACCCGAUGCAAACUGCGAAUACCGGAGAAUGUUAUCACGGGAGACACACGGCGGGUGCUAACGUCCGUCGUGAAGAGGGAAACAACCCAGACCGCCAGCUAAGGUCCCAAAGUCAUGGUUAAGUGGGAAACGAUGUGGGAAGGCCCAGACAGCCAGGAUGUUGGCUUAGAAGCAGCCAUCAUUUAAAGAAAGCGUAAUAGCUCACUGGUCGAGUCGGCCUGCGCGGAAGAUGUAACGGGGCUAAACCAUNNNNNNNNNNNNNNNNNNNNNNNNNNNNNNNNNNNNNNNNNNNNNNNNNNNNNNNNNNNNNNNNNNNNNNNNNNNNNNNNNNNNNNNNNNNNNNNNNNNNNNNNNNNNNNNNNNNNNNNNNNNNNNNNNNNNNNNNNNNNNNNNNNNAUGCUGGAGGUAUCAGAAGUGCGAAUGCUGACAUAAGUAACGAUAAAGCGGGUGAAAAGCCCGCUCGCCGGAAGACCAAGGGUUCCUGUCCAACGUUAAUCGGGGCAGGGUGAGUCGACCCCUAAGGCGAGGCCGAAAGGCGUAGUCGAUGGGAAACAGGUUAAUAUUCCUGUACUUGGUGUUACUGCGAAGGGGGGACGGAGAAGGCUAUGUUGGCCGGGCGACGGUUGUCCCGGUUUAAGCGUGUAGGCUGGUUUUCCAGGCAAAUCCGGAAAAUCAAGGCUGAGGCGUGAUGACGAGGCACUACGGUGCUGAAGCAACAAAUGCCCUGCUUCCAGGAAAAGCCUCUAAGCAUCAGGUAACAUCAAAUCGUACCCCAAACCGACACAGGUGGUCAGGUAGAGAAUACCAAGGCGCUUGAGAGAACUCGGGUGAAGGAACUAGGCAAAAUGGUGCCGUAACUUCGGGAGAAGGCACGCUGAUAUGUAGGUGAAGUCCCUCGCGGAUGGAGCUGAAAUCAGUCGAAGAUACCAGCUGGCUGCAACUGUUUAUUAAAAACACAGCACUGUGCAAACACGAAAGUGGACGUAUACGGUGUGACGCCUGCCCGGUGCCGGAAGGUUAAUUGAUGGGGUCAGCGCAAGCGAAGCUCUUGAUCGAAGCCCCGGUAAACGGCGGCCGUAACUAUAACGGUCCUAAGGUAGCGAAAUUCCUUGUCGGGUAAGUUCCGACCUGCACGAAUGGCGUAAUGAUGGCCAGGCUGUCUCCACCCGAGACUCAGUGAAAUUGAACUCGCUGUGAAGAUGCAGUGUACCCGCGGCAAGACGGAAAGACCCCGUGAACCUUUACUAUAGCUUGACACUGAACAUUGAGCCUUGAUGUGUAGGAUAGGUGGGAGGCUUUGAAGUGUGGACGCCAGUCUGCAUGGAGCCGACCUUGAAAUACCACCCUUUAAUGUUUGAUGUUCUAACGUGGACCCGUGAUCCGGGUUGCGGACAGUGUCUGGUGGGUAGUUUGACUGGGGCGGUCUCCUCCUAAAGAGUAACGGAGGAGCACGAAGGUUGGCUAAUCCUGGUCGGACAUCAGGAGGUUAGUGCAAUGGCAUAAGCCAGCUUGACUGCGAGCGUGACGGCGCGAGCAGGUGCGAAAGCAGGUCAUAGUGAUCCGGUGGUUCUGAAUGGAAGGGCCAUCGCUCAACGGAUAAAAGGUACUCCGGGGAUAACAGGCUGAUACCGCCCAAGAGUUCAUAUCGACGGCGGUGUUUGGCACCUCGAUGUCGGCUCAUCACAUCCUGGGGCUGAAGUAGGUCCCAAGGGUAUGGCUGUUCGCCAUUUAAAGUGGUACGCGAGCUGGGUUUAGAACGUCGUGAGACAGUUCGGUCCCUAUCUGCCGUGGGCGCUGGAGAACUGAGGGGGGCUGCUCCUAGUACGAGAGGACCGGAGUGGACGCAUCACUGGUGUUCGGGUUGUCAUGCCAAUGGCACUGCCCGGUAGCUAAAUGCGGAAGAGAUAAGUGCUGAAAGCAUCUAAGCACGAAACUUGCCCCGAGAUGAGUUCUCCCUGACUCCUUGAGAGUCCUGAAGGAACGUUGAAGACGACGACGUUGAUAGGCCGGGUGUGUAAGCGCAGCGAUGCGUUGAGCUAACCGGUACUAAUGAACCGUGAGGCUUAACCUUACAACGCCGAAGCUGUU